This 460-nucleotide ribosomal RNA is filed under the name uncultured bacterium. Its description in RNAcentral is "partial 16S ribosomal RNA". It matches the Rfam family "Bacterial small subunit ribosomal RNA", at positions 338 to 795 of the family's 1533-position model. The record is from RNAcentral.
CCUACGGGCGGCAGCAGUGAGGAAUAUUGGUCAAUGGCCGCGAGCCUGAACCAGCCAAGUAGCGUGAAGGAAGAAUGAUCUAUGGUUUGUAAACUUCUUUUAUAAGGGAAUAAAGUUAUCCACGUGUGGCUAUUUGUAUGUACUUUAUGAAUAAGCAUCGGCUAACUCCGUGCCAGCAGCCGCGGUAAUACGGAGGAUCCGAGCGUUAUCCGGAUUUAUUGGGUUUAAAGGGGGCGUAGAUGGGUUGUUAAGUCAGUUGUGAAAGUUUGUGGCUCAACCGUAAAAUUGCAGUUGAUACUGGAAGCCGUGAGUGCAGUUGAGGUAGGCGGAAUGCGUGGUGUAGCGGUGAAAUGCAUAGAUAUCACGAAGAACUCCGAUUGCGAAGGCAGCUUACUAAGCUGUCACUGACAUUGAUGCACGAAAGUGUGGGUAUCAAACAGGAUUAGAUACCCGUGUAGUC